UGUACUAUUAUUUUGACUAGUAGUUUGAAGAAGGGUAGAUGAGAAAUUACAGUUAGAUGAACAUGUUAGUAAUAGCAACAGAGAGACAUUUUAAAAGAGUUUCCUCAGUGUGAAUAGAAAGUUGGAUGCUUCUAGACUAAGGAGUGAGAUAUACACAUACUUUCCUUGAGGGUCUUUUUCCAUCUUGUUCAUUCAGUGUGGUGGUUGAAACCUCGCUUGCUAGUGUCUCUCAUGGGACCUGGAGGGCCUGGAGGACCGCCGGGCUGGGGGCCUCCUCCUGGUGGACCAAUACCAGGGCCUCCUCCCGGAUUGGGUUUUUUUGGUGGUUUUUGCAAUGCCAUAUCAGCUUGCCUGAGCGUCUUGUGUUGCUGCUGGUUGUUUCAAGACUGCUUUGGUGGACCAAUGGGCCCGCCUGGACCAAUGGGACCCCCUCCUCCAUGAUCAUCAUGAUCAGCUGCUGCCUCUGAGAUUUCAUAAGCCAUCUUUCUGGAGUUAACAUCUACUUAUUAUAUGUUACAAUAACAGUUUAAUCUUGUUAUCUUCACUUUAUGUGGAGUUCAAAUGAAAAUUGAUCAUGGAAAGAAAUGUUAACCUCAUUAUUGACUACUGAUCUAUUUUCAUGUGCAAACUUAGUUGAAUGAUCUAUUGGAUUAAAUGAAUUAUCCCAAAAAUGUUAUCAA
Long non-coding RNA from Camellia sinensis, 680 nucleotides. RefSeq lists it as uncharacterized. The record is from RefSeq and is a predicted model, not a curated record. NCBI's taxonomy places the organism in Eukaryota, Viridiplantae, Streptophyta, Magnoliopsida, Ericales, Theaceae.